AUCCUUGUCUACCUGAGGCCUUUUAAGGGUGUGUGAAACUUAAAGGCAGUUGUAUCUUGUAAGCUCCUGGAGAUACUGUCAGCUUUGUUGGGCAGCACCACGCACCAAUAGAACUUCCAGAUGGACCAAUUUACAUCACCAGAAAGGUGAUGCUGGUAUGGAAAAGCAAUUGGAGAGUACUGUAAGGCUUACUUGUCAAAUGGAGCUGUCUUCUGUACACUGGCUAGCAGUGUCACAUGUAGUCUUUUGGAGUGGUGAGCUUUCUGCUUUGUUGUCUGGGCCAAGUCGCAUUCUUGGAGAAGACUGUGCCUGUUCAAAAGACUUCAUGCAUAGCAGUGACUGAAAAUAUGAAGUGCCUGAACAACACUUGCUUUUGAUGCUAUAAGCCAUGUAUAGGAGCCAGACCUUUUGAAUUGUCUGCCAUUUACUGUAAUGGUCUCUUUAUCAGACAUGCCUGUCCAAAUUCCUUGAGACUAUCUGGAGUCCAGCUGCUGAGGAAGGCAGGGAAAUUCAAGUUUACUCAUCCAAACCUCUUUAACUACAGCAAUUGUGGUACAGCUCUUUUUGGAAAGACAAGAGGUGGAAGAAUAGCUAAAAACACUUAAUUCCUCACAGCUCCACAGGCCUGUGGAAAAUUUCAGCCUUGGGUUUGAGGAAAGAAAACAAGCCUGAACUCUCUUCCCCAUCACCAGUAGAAAAAAAGCUUUGGUGUAAUUCAAAGACUUUGCUGUUGUUUUGCCAACAGAUUGGAAAGGCCAGGUUGGAUUGCAAUUUCCCAUAAAAAUGGGAUUGUCUGUCUAUAAAUCUAUUUGUGGCUAUUUCUGAACUUCCCUUGACAAAAGCUGGGAAAAGUGAUCUAUAAAUCAUCAUGUUACAAAUGUCUUGUGUUUUCCCAGUUGGUUUUAGGAACAGAAGAGGUAUAUUUGUUUCUUCAUUUCCCCACACUUAUCCUUAAAAUGCAGCUUUGGUUUUAUCUUUGUUAAACAGAAAUGACCUUUCUGUCAGUAGUUAGGCUGAUAAUGUUGUGCAAGCCUUUGGUGAGGACUGUGCACAGUGUGGAUUGUGUUGGAUGCAGGCAGAUCCGUCCUUUCAAAACAUGAACAGAAACAUAACUGCACAUUUAUGUGGCACCAAAUAAAAUUGAGUAAGUGAGCUUACUUUUACCUGCACUGCCUGUUGCAGCACUGAUUGAUCGCUCCUGGUUGGGGGGCUCAGGGCUGGGGUUUCAGGAGAGCAAGGCAGGACUGGUGUUUGCCUCCCUUUCCAGCUGUUCUUCCC
Molecule: long non-coding RNA, 1278 nt
Organism: Numida meleagris (helmeted guineafowl)
Lineage: Eukaryota; Metazoa; Chordata; Aves; Galliformes; Numididae
Exons: 5
Source: RefSeq, a predicted model, not a curated record